AGAGAAACUCCAUAUUUGACUAGAUCCAUAUUUGACUAGAAAUAUGGAAUUUAGUCAAAUAUGGAGUUUAGUA
This 73-nucleotide microRNA precursor is filed under the name Olea europaea subsp. europaea. RNAcentral's name for it is "mir-1 microRNA precursor family". It matches the Rfam family "mir-1 microRNA precursor family". From Rfam's summary of the family: This family represents the microRNA (miRNA) mir-1 family. miRNAs are transcribed as ~70nt precursors (modelled here) and subsequently processed by the Dicer enzyme to give a ~22nt product. In this case the mature sequence comes from the 3' arm of the precursor. Lineage: Eukaryota; Viridiplantae; Streptophyta; Magnoliopsida; Lamiales; Oleaceae. The record is from Rfam by way of RNAcentral.